This 660-nucleotide long non-coding RNA is filed under the name Setaria viridis. RNAcentral's name for it is "long non-coding RNA (SVIR_LNC002152)". Lineage: Eukaryota; Viridiplantae; Streptophyta; Magnoliopsida; Poales; Poaceae. The record is from RNAcentral.
UUUGUGGACUCGAAGUUCUUCUGUUCUCUGGUAUUGGCGGAGCGAAGGUGUUACAUCCAUUGCCGAUCUAUCUACAUCGUAUUACGUGAAAAUUGGAUAUAGAGCUUCGUAUUAGAUAAAGAACUCGAUCAAUAUUAGGUAGGGGAAAGAUAGAGUAAAUAUGUUUAUAAUAUUUAGUCCUCAUUCUAAAAAACUCUCCAUUCUCCUCGUUCUAAAAAAUCAACAAGUACUCCAUUUGUAACAUAAAACUCAUUCAAAAAACUCUCCAUUCUCUUCGCUCUAAAAAACUCUCCAUUCUCCUCGUUCUAAAAGAUCAACAAGCUAGUACUCCAUUUGUAAAAAAAACUUGUUCUAAAAAACUCUCCAUUCACCUCACUCUAAAAAACUCUCAAUUCUCCUUAUUCUAAAAGAUCAACAAGUACCCCAUUUAUAACAUAAAACUCAUUCUAAAAAAUUUCCCAUUCUCCUCACUCUAAAAAACUCUCCAUUCUCCUCGUUCUAAAAGAUCAACAAGCUAGUACUCCAUUUGUAACAUAAAACUCAUUCUAAAAACUUCUCAUUCACCUCACUCUAAAAAACUCUCCAUUCUCCUCGUUCUAAAAGAUCAACAAGUACUCCAUUCGUAAUACAAAACUCAUUCUAAAAACCUCUCUAUUCUCC